Long non-coding RNA from Homo sapiens (human), 719 nucleotides. The record is from Ensembl. NCBI's taxonomy places the organism in Eukaryota, Metazoa, Chordata, Mammalia, Primates, Hominidae.
AAUCCAUGUAAGGAAUUCUGGAGAGGAAGGUGGCAGCAUUACUAAUCAGAUGUUUGACUGGGAAAUGUAAAGAGAUAGUCAUUACAUGGACAUCUGGAGAAAAAAACAGCACAUGGAAGUAUCAAGUGUUCUGGGGCCGCCCAGGCAGAGGAUAUUUGGCAAGGGAAAUAGGUCCACUGUACUGGGUUCAUUGCUUAACCGCUGGAAACAAGAGCUAGACUACCUGCUCGUGAUCCCAGGAGGCUAAUGGAACAGUGAUGUAUCGCGGUUCCUGCCUCGUGAAUUUGGAAGCAGGAUUCUGCUCCUAGGAAAAGAUGAGAAUAGAGCUCCAGUCUAUUCUUGCUGCAGUAAUUUGAAAAUUAUGGGACCAUCAAUCUGUUGUGAAUGCUGUCUACAGCAGAUCUUAUCUCUCAGAAUUAUCAAACUGAGCUGAUCCAAAGGCUUGACAUAAAUUACAUGUUAAACGUAUAACAUCUUCUCCUAUGGAUUUCUCCUGGGCAAGAAUGGCAUCUCGGUGCAGGACCCGCAGCACUUUCUCUGGCUCCGCAGACCCGUAAUGAGCCUCCAGAACCUCAGGCUUGGUUUUCUCUGUCUUCAGCAUGUGGAUCACAUCUUCUCUGGCCUGUAAUAGAAAGUGCAGCAAGAUCAGACGACUGACAAUGUAAAUCGCAUACUGGGCUCAAAAAAUCAACAGAGAGCUUAUUGAAUACAUCCCCAUC